AGAGUUUGAUCCUGGCUCAGAACGAACGCUGGCGGCGUGUUUAAGACAUGCAAGUCGCACGGGAUUGAAUGAGUAGUAAUACGAGUUCAGUCUAGUGGCGCACGGGUGAGUAACAUGUGAAUUACAUGCCCUAUAGUGGGGAAUAGCCCAGGGAAACUUGGAUUAAUACCCCAUGGUCUCGCAAGAGUAAAGGUGGCCGCAAGGCUGUCGCUAUAGGAUUGGUUCGCGCCCUAUCAGCUUGUUGGCGGGGUAACGGCCCACCAAGGCUACGACGGGUACUUGGUCUGAGAGGACGAUCAGGCACACUGGAACUGAGACACGAUCCAGACACCUACGGGUGGCAGCAGUCGAGAAUAAUUCACAAUGGGGGCAACCCUGAUGGUGCAACGCCGCGUGGAGGAUGACGGUCUUCGGAUUGUAAACUCCUGUCAUCCGGGAGUAAGACCUGGCUGUGAAUAGCAGACAGGGUUGAUAGUACCGGAAGAGGAAGGGACGGCUAACUUCGUGCCAGCAGCCGCGGUAAUACGAAGGUCCCGAGCGUUGUUCGGAAUCACUGGGCGUAAAGGGAGCGUAGGCGGCGUGGUAAGUCAGAUGUGAAAUCCCGGGGCUCAACCCCGGAACUGCAUCCGAUACUGUCGUGCUAGAGGAUUGGAGAGGUAGCUGGAAUUCUUGGUGUAGCAGUGAAAUGCGUGGAUAUCAAGAGGAACACUCGUGGCGAAAGCGAGCUACUGGACAACUCCUGACGCUGAGGCUCGAAGGCCAGGGUAGCGAAAGGGAUUAGAUACCCCUGUAGUCCUGGC
RNAcentral lists this ribosomal RNA (800 nucleotides) under uncultured bacterium. RNAcentral's name for it is "bacterial SSU rRNA". It matches the Rfam family "Bacterial small subunit ribosomal RNA", at positions 8 to 800 of the family's 1533-position model. The record is from RNAcentral.